This 489-nucleotide ribosomal RNA is filed under the name uncultured bacterium. Its description in RNAcentral is "bacterial SSU rRNA". It matches the Rfam family "Bacterial small subunit ribosomal RNA", at positions 31 to 507 of the family's 1533-position model. The record is from RNAcentral.
GAACGCUAGCUACAGGCUUAACACAUGCAAGUCGAGGGGAACGACAUUGGAAGCUUGCUUCCGAUGGGCGUCGACCGGCGCACGGGUGAGUAACGCGUAUCCAACCUCGCCCACCACUUGGAGAUAACCUUGCGAAAGUAAGACUAAUACCCAAUGACGUCUCUAGAAGACAUCUGAAAGAGAUUAAAGAUUUAUCGGUGAUGGAUGGGGAUGCGUCUGAUUAGCUUGUUGGCGGGGUAACGGCCCACCAAGGCGACGAUCAGUAGGGGUUCUGAGAGGAAGGUCCCCCACAUUGGAACUGAGACACGGUCCAAACUCCUACGGGAGGCAGCAGUGAGGAAUAUUGGUCAAUGGGCGAGAGCCUGAACCAGCCAAGUAGCGUGCAGGAUGACGGCCCUAUGGGUUGUAAACUGCUUUUAUAAGGGAAUAAAGUUAGUCUCGUGAGACUUUUUGCAUGUACCUUAUGAAUAAGGACCGGCUAAUUCCGUG